GGAAUGUCGAGAUCCAAUCCAGAGAAAUCAGGCAAUGAUCCAACUUUGCCAAGGAUGGAUUCUCCCUAUGAUUUGACCAGGUGAAGGUUUUUUGGGUGAUCCUUAGCUCCGACAGUUGCAUCUGCUCAAUGAAGAGGUUAAAGUCUGCAGAUGCUAUUUGGCUACUAGUUGAGCCUUUUCUCUCUUUCAGAUAACAUACCAUAUUGAAAUCACCUACGAGAGCCCAAGGUCCAUUCCAAGAAUAUAUGACAGAUCUAAUCUCUUCAAGGAAAGGUCUCCUGAGAGACAUAUCCACUGGGCCAUAGACAUUUGUUAAUAGCCAUUCCACUAAACUUUGGGAUAAUAAGGAGUGCACCAUACUUAUGGAAAACCUCCCUUUGUGAAGAUGACGCCUACUAACCUCCUCUGAAUUCCAAGCCGUUAGUAAUCCACUAGCUGAUCCCGAUGCACCUAAGUACACCCAUGAGUCUAUCCUACCAUCACAAGAUGAGGAAACUAUUCACGAAUUGAUCACCUCAAGUUUGGUCUCUUGGAAACACACCAGCUUACACUUCGAAUGGACCACUGCAUCCUUUACUACACGCUUCUUAAAGGCCUUACCAAAUCUUCUUACAUUCCAAAACAAUGUCGCCAAACCCAUUUAUUGGGAGCGAAAACCAUUUUAGUGUCCAAGUGGCCAUUUGGAGGCCAAGCCACGUUGGUUGAAAAAACAUCCUGACUAUUAUUUUGCAUGAGACUAUUACCAAGAUCACUGGAUGUUACUUCACACUGAGAUACAUCUUUAGCACCCCAUUCCAUUACUUUCUCUAAGAAACCC
Molecule: long non-coding RNA, 817 nt
Filed under: Elaeis guineensis (African oil palm)
Lineage: Eukaryota; Viridiplantae; Streptophyta; Magnoliopsida; Arecales; Arecaceae
Description: long non-coding RNA (EGUI_LNC072104)
Source: RNAcentral